AGCAGCCGCGGUAAUUCCAGCUCCAAUAGCGUAUAUUAAAGUUGUUGCAGUUAAAAAAGCUCGUAGUUGAAUUUCGGGAUCGACGGGUCGGUCGCGCCUCCGGUGUGUACUGGCCCUGUCGGUUUCUCCCUUCUGAAGAACCGCGAUGUCAUUAAUUUGGUGUCGUGGGAAAUCAGGACUGUUACUUUGAAAAAAUUGAGUGUUUAAAGCAGGUAUUCGCUUGAAUACAUUAGCAUGGAAUAAUGAAAUAGGACGUUUGAUCUUAUUUUGUUGGUUUCUAAGAUCGACGUAAUGAUUAAUAGGGAUAGUUGGGGGGCAUUAGGUAUUCAAUUGUCAGAGGUGAAAUUCUUGGAUUUAUUGAAGACUAACUACUGCGAAAGCAUUUGCCAAGGAUGUUUUCAUUAAUCAAGAACGAAAGUUAGGGGAUCGAAGACGAUCAGAUACCGUCGUAGUCUUAACCAUAAACUAUGCCGACUAGGGAUCGGAUGAUGUAAUUUUUAAUGACUCAUUCGGCGCCUUA
Molecule: ribosomal RNA, 520 nt
Filed under: uncultured Glomus
Lineage: Eukaryota; Fungi; Glomeromycota; Glomeromycetes; Glomerales; Glomeraceae
Description: SSU rRNA
Rfam family: Eukaryotic small subunit ribosomal RNA
Source: RNAcentral